AACGGCAAAGAAAAUAAACAACACGAGUAAAUCUCGAAAUGGCCUUCCACCGCUGGAGACAGCUCCUGAGAGUAAAGACAUGCGGUUUGAUGCCGAGCUCGCAACUUUCCUGUUAGCUUGGACCAGAAGUCCAGUCUAAUCACCAAUGAUGGACCAGCACCAGCCUUUUCUUCUGCAUCUGGCCUCAUCAAUCAUCAACCACAUUACAUCAACACCUUGAGGGACGGCAGAAUCCACUUCGGGCCAGAACCACACCUUGCCCUGCAAGAAAUGGUAAGUCAUGUGCAUGACUCGACCCAUACAUAUAGGCUCAAAAUGAUUCUUAGCUUGUAAAGUGACCUUAAUAAAUAAUUCCAAUGUUUGUAGUUUAACAUUUGU
Long non-coding RNA from Seriola aureovittata, 378 nucleotides. RefSeq lists it as uncharacterized. NCBI's taxonomy places the organism in Eukaryota, Metazoa, Chordata, Actinopteri, Carangiformes, Carangidae. The transcript has 3 exons. The record is from RefSeq and is a predicted model, not a curated record.